GCUGUCAGUGGAGCAGCCCAGUGGUAUCGACAGGCAGGGAAAGCCCUCAGACAGUAAGUACAGUGUCUCCGGUGAAGACCGCCGCUCCGCUCUCUGCUGGCUCUACUGUGAGGGCUGCGCCUCUACACGGACUGAAAACACUCCAACACAGCGACACUGAGCUGUAGCAUUGAUUUGUUUCUAGCGGGGACAUGGCUGAUGUAAGUUCAAACGAGUCGUCCGGCGGGGACGUGGCGAAUAGGUUUGCUCGCAAAGGUGCUUUGAGGCAAAAAAACGUCCACGAGGUCAAGAACCAUAAAUUCAUAGCCAGGUUCUUCAAGCAGCCGACUUUCUGCAGCCACUGCACCGACUUUAUCUGGGGGUUUGGAAAACAAGGAUUCCAGUGCCAAGUUUGCUGUUUUGUGGUCCACAAGAGGUGCCAUGAAUUAGUCACAUUCUGCUGCCCAGGGGCAGAUAAGGGGCCCGACACAGAUGAUCCCAGAACAAAGCACAAGUUCAAGAUCCACACCUAUGGGAGCCCCACCUUCUGCGACCACUGUGGCUCUCUGCUGUAUGGCCUCAUCCACCAGGGCAUGAAGUGCGACUCCUGCGAUAUGAACGUCCACAAGCAGUGUGUUAUGAACGUGCCCAGCCUGUGUGGAACCGAUCACACUGAAAGGAGGGGGCGUGUUUACCUCAAGUGUGAGGUCACUGUGGAUAAGCUGCAGGUCACAGUGGGUGAAGGCAAAAAUCUGAUCCCCAUGGACCCCAAUGGCCUGUCUGAUCCGUAUGUCAAGCUCAAGCUCAUACCAGACCCCAAAAAUGAGACCAAGCAGAAGACCAAAACCAUCCGCUCCAACCUCAACCCCAAAUGGAACGAGACCUUCAAUUUCAAGCUGAAGCCUUCGGAUAAGGACCGCAGGCUGUCAGUGGAGGUGUGGGACUGGGACCGGACCACUAGGAAUGACUUCAUGGGGGCCCUUUCCUUCGGCGUAUCAGAGCUCAUGAAGGCUCCAGUCUGUGGCUGGUAUAAGUUAUUGUGCCAGGAGGAGGGGGAGUACUACAAUGUUCCCAUCUCAGAGGAGGAUGACGGGAAUGAGGAACUGAGGCAGAAAUUUGAGAAAGCCAAGCUAGGCCCAGGUAAGAAGGUGAUCACCGAGACGGACGACAGCCACUCCAGCCAGCAGACUCAAAACAGCCUGGACCAGGUCAAACUCAGCGACUUCAGCUUCCUGGCUGUGCUGGGGAAAGGGAGCUUUGGCAAGGUCAUGUUGGCAGAGAUGAAGGCCACUGAAGAGCUGUACGCAAUAAAGAUCCUGAAGAAGGACGUGGUGAUUCAGGACGAUGAUGUGGAAUGUACCAUGGUGGAGAAGAGAGUCCUGGCCCAACAGGACAAGCCGCCCUUCCUCACAUACCUCCAUUCGUGCUUCCAGACUGUGGACCGUCUGUACUUUGUCAUGGAGUAUGUGAACGGGGGAGACCUCAUGUAUCAUAUUCAACAAGUGGGCAAGUUCAAGGAACCUCAGGCAGUGUUCUAUGCAGCAGAGAUCGCUGUUGGUCUCUUCUUCCUGCACCUUAAAGGAGUCAUCUAUAGGGAUCUGAAGUUGGACAACGUGAUGCUGGACUGUGAGGGACACAUUAAGAUUGCUGACUUCGGCAUGUGUAAAGAGAACAUGAUAGAAGGAGUGACCACGCGCACCUUCUGCGGCACCCCAGACUACAUAGCCCCGGAGAUCAUUGCAUAUCAACCAUAUGGACGUUCUGUAGACUGGUGGGCAUAUGGAGUUCUGCUCUACGAAAUGCUGGCAGGACAGCCUCCAUUCGAUGGCGAGGAUGAAGAUGAAUUGUUCCAGUCUAUUAUGGAGCACAACGUGUCCUACCCCAAGUCCAUGUCCAAAGAAGCUGUCUCCAUCUGCAAAGGGCUGAUGACCAAGCAUCCAUCCAAGCGUCUGGGCUGCGGCACUGAGGGAGAGAGGGACAUCAGAGAACACGCCUUCUUCAGACGUAUUGAUUGGGAACGCCUCCAGAACAGGGAGAUACAGCCGCCCUUCAAGCCCAAAGUGUGUGGCAAAGGAGCAGAGAACUUUGACAAGUUCUUUACACGCACCCAGCCCCAGCUCACACCGCCAGAUGAGCUGGUUAUCGCCAACAUCGACCAGGCAGAGUUUGCAGGGUUCUCUUUCAUCAACCCACAGUUUGUACACCCGUCGCUCAUAAACAGCGUAUGAGAAGGAUGGGGAAGCGUCCCUGAAGAACCUCCCUGUUCACUGCCACCCACGCAAAGCAACCGUCAACCUAACAUCUGACCACAACUUGAUCAAGGCCCACUGUAAACCUUUAUGUAUUGGAUUUAUUCGCAAGCAGCAUUGUAGGGCAUGCAUAAUUGUUCUGUACAAUAUAUUUGCCAGUAUACAUUAUAUAGAUUAGAUCCUCAGCCAUCAAAAGAAAUGAUUUCCUUUAGUUUAAUGAUGAGCAUGUACUGUAGACAAGGAUGCCCUUCCUUAUCGCGGCAAUUAGUAUUGAAGGUUUUCCAUAAUUGGAGGCACUGAGACAGAAGGGUGUCAGGCUUUACUUAUCUAUGCCACUAUAUGAUAACAUUUAGAGAAUAAUGGCUGUAUAUAAUAUAAGCAAGAGAAUACUAAAGACGUAUGGUCCUGGAAAAGGUUUUAAUGCUUACAAAUCUGAAUAGAUAAACAUUAUGGUCUACAUAUCUAGUUGAUGGGUCACAGUUUGUUUCCAGUAUACUGUAGAUAUAAUGUGAUGACCUCAGAACCACUCACAUAAGGCAGCGUAGACUACAGCCAAAUAUGAAGGACAGGCAGUGCAGGCGCUGAAACAGCACCUUGUGAUUCAGUGUUUCCUGUAUCAUGUUUACAGUUUGUUUCCCCUGUUGAUUUCACGGUGAAGGUAUACAAUUCUCUUUAAGUCAAAUAUGAUUCUAGCCAGUCUCAACUUCCAGUGUGCGUAGCAAAUCAACUCAAGAUUGAACAGUUGUGUAAUUAUAGAAAAUAUGCAGCCUGUAAAAAUGCAAAUAUGUGAGACACAUAGGUAUGAAAGUGCAUCAGGUCUGAUUCCAAUCUAUCAAAACUUAGCUUGUUAGCUUAACAGUUAUUACCCUAUUUUACCUGCUCUCAGGGCUGGGCAAUAUGAAGAAAAUCACUUGUUAUGAUAUUUUUGACCAAAUACUUUGAUAACGAUAUUACGACAAUAUUGUAAGGUUGCCUGACACCAGACAGAAUUGUCAGCUGAUUAAACUCUGUUUCCAUCUUCAGUCUGACAUUUAACUGAUUUCUGUGGGGGAGGGAGAUACGAUUUUCCCUCACCAAUCACUCGAGGCAAUAUAUCAAUCUAUUACAGUAUUACAUCAUUUUAAGUCCACACUGAUGUGUAGCCAUGCCAACAUACCUGUUUUGCCAGGGUUUUGAGUAGUAAAGUAAAGGAAAGAAAACUACAAUAUCAGGUGAUAUUGAGAAGACAGUCAAUUUAGAGUAGCGUCGAUAGCAGUGUCUAUCUUGUCUGUAGCCUUCGUAGUUCUGGAGCACCACUUGACAAUGCUUAACAGCAGCUUGACAGCGAGUUAGCCCCACCUAUGGUGCUAAUUGGCUAAUCGAGUCCUCCCACUGCACACAUUGAUUGUCUUUUAUAUUAACCGAGAAACUGAUGUCUCCUGUCACGAUACCAGACGAAUCAGUCAAUUUAAACUCGGUAAAGUGGGCUGCUUCAAAGAUGUGGACCUGGACAGAUUUCCCAGAAUAUUACACAAUGAGAUUUUUUAUGAAUAUCAAAAGUAAUGUGGGUAUAAUGGCUAAGUGAAUAAAAGCAAACAGCUAGAAUGGUCUGGUCAGUUCAGAAGAUGGCAUCACUUUACUGUAAUGCAGCCUUUAAAACCAGGAAAAGACAACACUUACGAUACGGUAUCCAAAAUCUGAUGAUAUCUAGUCUCAUAUCAUGACAUUGAUAUAAUAUCAAUAUAUUGCCCAGCCCUAACAGUUAUAAUUCACACACCAAUUUUCUGGCCCUUACUGAAGCUGCAGAUUGUAUACUUCUCUUGUCAAUAAUUUUGUGGACACUAUGUGGACACACAGUUAUCAGUUUAGUAUGUGGGCAGUGGUAGGACAUUCUUAUAUCUUCCUUCAGUUAAAAAAAAAAAAAAAAAAAAAAAAUCAACCCUAAAACGUUUACAGUUUGUCAUGUUUUAACAUUAGUCAGUGUGAACCACUGUCUCUGUCCCAUGAUACACCCAGAACUACAAAUCCUCCCAUUAGUCAUAAAUGUCUCAACAAAAACACACGUAUACAUUUUGAUAAACUGUUUGUUUUUUGGAAUAUAACAUGAUGUCAUUGUGUAUUAACCAUCCAAUGUUAUACUGCAUACAAUAUCAUGCCCUUAGUUUUCUUAGAUGGAGAAGUUGCAAACCAGUAGAAGCAAUUCUUCUGCCAAUACUUUGUUGUCCUAAAAACAAACACAUCCCUCAUUAGGAGUCUGUCAACACAAUAAUUCUGAGUUAAAUCACUUAUUUUUGCACCCCUUUUAAUUUCUUUAAUGUCUUUAAAAAUAGAUUAGUUUUUAAUCUCCUCUUCUUUUGUGAUCUCAUACAUAUUUUUCCAUUAGAUCAGAUUGAUAUUUUAAUGCAUCUACUAUCAGUGCAUAACUCCUUUGUAAAUAAUCAUGAGUUAUUUAAAAAGAGUAUAGCAAGUUACAGUUUUUAUACCAACACCUGAAUGUGCUUUUAUUACAUUAAUUAUAUAAAACCAAUAUUUGUAUGUGUAAAAAAGAAAAAAAAAUUAAACAAUGAAGAAAGUAACCCAGUGCAGAUCAACUUUGUAACAGCUGGAUGUCUUUAAGAGUCCAGAGUGAGCAAGUUGUGAAAUAUAUCUGUUCUACUUGUUUUGGCAGAUUUAUCAAAGCUUUUAUUUUCUUUAUUCAUAUUCAAUGACUGCAAAUUGUGUGUUGAUUGGAUGCGUGUCUGGCUGUUGACUGUCCCGCUGUAUCUGCAUGCUGUUGGUAGGCAUCAUUCAUGCACGUGAUCCGCUAAAGGCUGCAUGCUAGUAAUUAUAAACGAGUUACAGUACGACCUCAGAGUGAUACUCCACUCAAAAUCUAACUUUAGUGGUAAAAGUCACCCCUUGUGGUCUUGGAAGUUUGUACCGGUUUUGUCCUUCUUGAAGAAUAAUGCCCAUGGUUAGCUUAGAUUCAUGGUUGACUUUAAAUGGAUUAAAAUAAUGACAGAUUUUAACUGAAAGUUUAAAACAAAAAACAAAAAAAAAAAAAAAAAAAAGGUGUCAAAACAUUAAAGUUUGAUUUCAAACAUAUAUAUUUUUUUUUUUUAUAUGAAAAUAUCCCUCUCAGUCUUCACCUAGACAAACAAACCCACCUUCAGCUUGCAGGCCUGGACAAACCUAUAUGGGAGGUUAAUGACACCAAAAACACAGAUUUAAGGUGGACUAUAACUGUAACCAUAGCGCUAGACCGGCUAAAUUUAACAUGGCUAGUACACACCACAGUCCGGUACCUUAAAGGAUAACGUUGGCAUUUUUCAACCUGGAACCUAUUUUUCCAUGUUUUUGUUUCUAAGUGGCUGAUGCAAACAAGGACUUUUGAAUUUGGUCCUGCAUUAAGAGAGUACCAUGCCCACAGUGUAACCAGGUGGGUCAAUUAUUCAACAUCACUGCACGUCCAGUAAAGUGUUUAUUUUUGCCACAGACAGGCUCAGAUUGUUAUUGUAAAUGUCUGAAGUGUCUCUUUACCUUUGUCUUGAUCUGGUCUGUUUGUUAUUGUGUCUUAAGUCUUGCUCAAGGAGCAGUCUCGCUCUGAAAUCUUACAAGAUGUGAGUUGUUGCAGGAAGACAAUGGUGGAAAUGCGAAUGAGAGGGAAUAGUGCGUUGUGUUGGAGUACAGAAAAGGUAGCUCAGUGUUUUAUUCAAAAGAUUUUCAAUGUUGCGUUUCUAAUGUUUUCUUCCUGCAACAAGUCACAUCUCAUGGGAUUUCAGAACAAUACUUUUCCUUGAGUAAGACUUAAACACAUUCACGAACAGACCAGAUCAAGCCAAAGGCUAAGAGACACUUCAGACACUUAGAAUGACAAUCUGAGUCUGUCUGUGGAAAAAUAACCUCUUUUAAAGGAUGUACAAUAAUGGUGCACAAUUGCCCCAUCUGGUAACAUUGUGUGCAUUGCGCGGCUGCUGACUGCAGCCCUCUUUAUCAAUACUGGACCAAUUUAAAAAAUUAAUAUUCACAUCAAUCACUUCAGCACAAAAACAUGGGAAAACAGGUCCCAGGUUGAAAAAUGCUGAUGUCACUCUUUAAGAGUGCUGAUCUUAGACCAGCUGGACUCUUUGAGAGGUGAUUGCAGGAUUUUGUAACUAUACUGCACACCAAUCACAAGUAAAGUUUCAAUGACACAGUCCUGCUACAGUAAUGAAACACCUUAGUCCUAAUGCUCAGGCAGAUUUGUAAACUAUUUGUGAAAGUAAGAGCGAGGAACAAGUGAUUUUUGCCAAAAGAAUGCAGAUCACAGGGGCUAAAGAACAUAGAGUAGACGUUUAGUUUAUUAAUCUAAAUAGAUACUAAAACAAUUUUUAAAAGACUUUCCUGAGACAUAGUCCCUGGUUCUAGAUCAGUGCUCUUUCCUGUAGAAGCUUGAUAUAUAUAUAUAUAUAUGGCCCCUGGUUCCUUUUGCCUUUACCCUUUUAGGGCGAUGUGGAACACUGAAUCCAGAUCUGUGGUCAGUUGUGACUGAGACGCACUGCUAGUUGCUAGACCAGUGGGACCACUCGCUCUUUAGUGUCUCAUGAAUGGAGUUUAUGUUGUAAUCUUAAUGUUGUGUUUUUGUCACUUUGUAAAACUUUUGUUUCUUAUGCUUUUGCUGUUGUAAGUUGCUGUCAGUGUUGUCAGUUCUGUUUCUCUAGCUUCUGCUCAGAAAUUCAGGAAUGUUUCAAAGGAUAUAUCACAUUAGAAAACACAUAUCUGACUGAUAUAGGAACUGUUGAAGCGUUUGUACGGUUUUCUCCAUGUUUUUCUAAGAAAUGUGCUCUCUCCUGCCGUGUUUCCUAUAGUAUAUAACCUUUUGCAUGUGCCAAACCUGGAAAAUGCCAGAACCCGACAAUAGCAGCGUUGCACUAGCUGUAGUCACAUGGAUGACUUCUUCUUUGUGGCAGCUUCUCCCAGCGUGGGUCGAGACCUGCCUGAAGCCACACCUGCUGUACACUCUGUUGGCCACAAACCAUAUAGCAUGCUGCCAUGAGUAUACCAGUGCACAUUGUGUCAGUACGCUUUACGAUGCCAGUCAGUUUGAUAAACGACUCAUCAUAUACGGUACUAGAUUUUCCUGCCUGUGUAGCCUUGGGCAGAGUUGUGUCCGGGAAAAAAAUAACAUUUCAACUUGUGGAGCAUUUUGAUUUAACACCUACAGUGAAUUCCACAGAAGUGAGAGAAAAUAUUCCUUGUACAUACUUAGAGUUUACUCAGCAACACUCUUGCCCUCGUCCGAGCCUCACUUGCACCUCUGUAUGUGCUGACUUAAUAGAUCCAUCCCUUUAAUAGAAUCUCUGAUUACUUGCUUCCCAAACUUCUUUCUUCUUAAUAAUGUUUUCAAAACGUCACAGUCAGUGUGGGCAUGAAAAAAAGAUUACUUACUCUCCCCUUGUGUGCCUUUCCCAACUUGAACAGAUAUACUGUACAUUGUGUUCUUAAUCUCCAUAAUCCAGCUCUGAUCUAAACUUUCUACUCCGUGUUUACUUCAUACCUUUACACCACUUUCUGUAUCUUUAAAUCCAUUGUCAAAGUCAAUUCAUUCUGUUUAUACUUCAUUUUUUAGUGUUUCAGCACAUCUUACAAAUGAAUGAAUGUGAAUAAAUGUUAAAAUAAAAACGUUCUGCACGCUUUGUUCACACAAAUGCUCCAUCAUCCGGUCAGUACAUCACAAAUUAAGAACUUUUUUUUUGUCUGACGCCAGUAACCUUUACAGUCACAACUUGACUUAUCCUCCCGUGUCUGCUUGCUUCACCUUUACCUCCCUGUGCCUAUUAAUGACUGAAUGAUGUAGUGAGUUAAUUAAUAUCUGUAUCGACAAUAUCAAUUGAUGAUCUUCGGGGAGUGAAGGAACAAUGGACGGGUGAUUGAUGGGGUUUAUAGUUAAAUGAACGAAAAGAUAGAUGAUGAUGAUGGCUUGUUUGAAGGACGACCCCUGUGCCUCGUCACAUCGAACCGCCCCUCCCUCGUCAUCUCUUGUACGCCCCUCUUUCACUCCGCCUGUUCCUCCUUCCUCAGUGCCUGGGCCAAGUCAAUCCAUCAUCUUAUCGACAGCACGCUCGUCCUUUUCACCCCUUUAAAUCCCGUCAGGUCAGGAAAGCGGUUGAUUUUUCUCGUGCGAUUUACACAGUUGGCAUCAAUUCCACCUUUUCCUUUUCUCUACUGAGGCCCCUCAGUGCCCCAUGGGAAAAGAGUUUUACUUUGUUUACAUUCUGUUUGAUGUCCUUACCUUUUUGUUUUUAACUGAUCAGGAUGUCCAGAAGAUGAUGAAGUAACUGUCUGAUUAUGUUUUAUCUUAAAUGGAAGGUUUUAAGAAAGAGGGUUUUUUUUGAUUGGCAUUUCGUACAGUACUCCUUUCAGGUUUGCUUUAGAUAAAUCUUGUGUUAUGUCUAUCCUUCGUAGUCAGUCAUCACUCUCCGCUGUGUCCUGUCCACUGUGUAAUGAGAGAGUUGAGGUGAGCUGCCAUCUUUUUGGCCGUACCAGAGCACAGGAUCAACAAUGUGCAGGAAUGCCUUAUCCCGUAACCCAUACAGUAACAUGGUCUCUAACUCGCCUCUCUUUGUUCAUUUAUUCUCUCAGCACCCCUGUCCUUGUACAUAAAUGACUUACAGUAGAUAUCUACAUAGACUGUAAAAGAAAGAAUAUAUUGUAUUUUGCAAAAUGGUGUAUGUUUGUUUUCUUCCCCUGUCAGCCUGAAACCUUUAAAAUGAGUCUGAGCUACUUACCUUGUAAUUGAUUGUGUCAUUUGUACCUAAUGUAUGAUAAUGCAAAUAAAAAAAAGGAAAAUGAGAUCCA
RNA transcript from Epinephelus moara (kelp grouper), 9023 nucleotides. It is a transcript of the gene named protein kinase C alpha type, with no coding region annotated. NCBI's taxonomy places the organism in Eukaryota, Metazoa, Chordata, Actinopteri, Perciformes, Serranidae. The record is from RefSeq and is a predicted model, not a curated record. The transcript is spliced from 18 exons.